UACGAAGGUGGCUAGCGUUGUUCGGAAUUACUGGGCGUAAAGCGCACGUAGGCGGCCUUGUAAGUUGGGGGUGAAAUCCCGGGGCUCAACCUCGGAAUUGCCUUCAAGACUGCUUGGCUCGAGUUCGGGAGAGGUGAGUGGAAUUCCCAGUGUAGAGGUGAAAUUCGUAGAGAUUGGGAAGAACACCAGUGGCGAAGGCGGCUCACUGGCCCGUAACUGACGCUGAGGUGCGAAAGCGUGGGGAGCAAACAGG
Molecule: ribosomal RNA, 253 nt
Filed under: uncultured bacterium
Lineage: Bacteria
Description: partial 16S ribosomal RNA
Rfam family: Bacterial small subunit ribosomal RNA
Source: RNAcentral